UCGCGGCCAAUCAGCUUGUUGGUGAGGUAACGGCUCACCAAGGCGAUGACGCGUAGCUGGUCUCAGCGGAUGAUCAGCCACACGGGGACUGAGACACGGCCCGGACUCCUACGGGAGGCAGCAUGGGGAAUUUUGGACAAUGGGCGAAAGCCUGAUCCAGCGACGCCGCGUGCGGGAGGAAGCCCCUCGGGGUGUAAACCGUUGUCAGGAGGGAAGAAAACGAUCGGACGAAUAAUCCGGUUACUUGACGGUACCUCCAGAGGAAGCGCCGGCUAACUCCGUGCCAGCAGCCGCGGUAAUACGGAGGGCGCAAGCGUUGUCCGGAAUCACUGGGCGUAAAGGGGGCGCAGGCGGCUUGCAAAGUCCUGUGUGAAAUCCCACGGCUCAACCGUGGAAGGCCACAGGAUACUGGCGAGCUCGAGACGGGUAGAGGCGAGUGGAAUUCCCGGUGUAGCGGUGGAAUGCGUAGAUAUCGGGAAGAACACCAGUGGCGAAGGCGACUCGCUGGGCCCGUUCUGACGCUCAGGCCCGAAAGCGUGGGGAGCAAACAGGAUUAGAUACCCUGGUAGUCCACGCCGUAAACGAUGGGCACUAGGUGCUGGAGAGUGUGACCUCCUCGGUGCCGUAGCUAACGCGUUAAGUGCCCCGCCUGGGGAGUACGG
RNAcentral lists this ribosomal RNA (662 nucleotides) under uncultured Actinomycetes bacterium. RNAcentral's name for it is "bacterial SSU rRNA". It matches the Rfam family "Bacterial small subunit ribosomal RNA", at positions 231 to 885 of the family's 1533-position model. Lineage: Bacteria; Bacillati; Actinomycetota; Actinomycetes. The record is from RNAcentral.